Long non-coding RNA from Peromyscus maniculatus bairdii (prairie deer mouse), 422 nucleotides. RefSeq lists it as uncharacterized. The record is from RefSeq and is a predicted model, not a curated record. NCBI's taxonomy places the organism in Eukaryota, Metazoa, Chordata, Mammalia, Rodentia, Cricetidae.
CGAGAAUGGGUCUGCCCUAGUCCAAAAAGUUGCUCCUUGGAACUCAUCCUGGUCAUCAGCUGCCGAGAGAGUGCUGAUCUGUUCACCCUUCUACUUGAGUCUUUUGGGUCAUCGCUGGGCUUGGCCACACUGAGAAGCUGAAUAGAUGCCUGAAUACAGUAUAACAAAGAGCAGAUGAAUCUGUUUUUCUGGGCCUCGCUUCCAUUCUUAUAGAUAAUGAGGCUGCAGGCCCAGACGCCUUUGUAAUUUACACGGCACGUUCCUUAAACCCAUGCCCUUUAUCUGAAGUUGGCACCAGGGACCACGGGGGCGAGUCUGAGUUUUCAUGACAGCGUAUGAUUUUCAAGGCAUUUAACACACGUUGCCUCAUCGAAUCUUCAGAACAACCCGAGAGAUAGAAUAAUGUUUUUCUUCAUUUUUAU